GAUGAAGAACGUAGCGAAAUGCGAUAAGUAGUGUGAAUUGCAGAAUUCAGUGAAUCAUCGAAUCUUUGAACGCACAUUGCGCCCCUUGGUAUCCCGAGGGGCAUGCCUGUUCGAGCGUCAUUUCACCACUCAAGCCUGGCUUGGUGUUGGGCGACGUCCCCUUUGGGGACGCGCCUCGAAACGCUCGGCGGCGUGGCACCGGCUUUAAGCGUAGCAGAAUCUUUCGCUUUGGAAGUCGGGGCCCCGUCUGCCGGAAGACCUACUCGCAAGGUUGACCUCGGAUCAGGCAGGGAUACCCGCUGAACUAAAGCAUAUCAAUAAGCGGAGGA
RNAcentral lists this unclassified non-coding RNA (329 nucleotides) under soil metagenome. Its description in RNAcentral is "partial contains 5.8S ribosomal RNA, internal transcribed spacer 2, and large subunit ribosomal RNA". The stretch from base 1 to 120 matches the Rfam family "5.8S ribosomal RNA", at positions 35 to 154 of the family's 154-position model. The record is from RNAcentral.